UGAGAAUAUGCACUCAGUUGAGUGUGGUGUG
This 31-nucleotide non-coding RNA is filed under the name Rattus norvegicus (Norway rat). Lineage: Eukaryota; Metazoa; Chordata; Mammalia; Rodentia; Muridae. The record is from RNAcentral.